CCUGGACUUGAGCGGAGCGAGAAAGAGCGCGCCGCCUGCACGACUGGACUGGAGCGGCCGGGUGCCCUGGAGGCCCCUGGGAAUUGCAGUCCUUGCGCAGGUGGAGAGUGAGCCCUUGUAAGCGGGUGACUUCAUCAAGUUUGGGGGGUCUCUUGUGGAAUUGUACCUGAAGGGCGGUGCUGGCGGACAGAUGUCAGGGAAAUUCUGGCCUUGUCCAUGGCCUGUGGUAACACUUCUCCAUGAGUUCUAUUUUCCAAUUACCUCUUCCCAGACCUGAUGAGAGGGCCACAGCUAAGGAAGACGGUCCCUUCCACGAAAAAAUAUUCCCCAACCACUAGCCUGUACAAUUCCUGGGGCGUAGGGGGAGGGGAGGAGAAAAAAGAAUUCUAAGGUUAAUUUUAUUGCGAUGGGGGAAAUAGGGGUUGGUGUUUUUUUGUUGUUGUUAUUUUUUAUUUUAUUUAUUUAUUUGAGACGGAGUCUUGCUCUGUCGCCCAGGCUGGAGUGCAGUGGCGCGAUCUUGGCUCACUGCAAGCUCCGCCUCCCGGGUUCACGCCAUUCUCCUGCCUCAGCCUCCUGAGUAGCUGGGACUAGAGGCGCCCGCCACCACGCCCGGCUAAUUUUUUUUUUUUGGUAGGAGACACGGCGUUUCACCAUAUUAGCCAGGAUGGUCUCGAUCUCCUGACCUCGUGAUCCGCCCGUCUCGGCCUCCCAAAGUGCUGGGUUUACAGGCGCCCGGCCGAUUAUUUUUUAUUUUUUUUUUGAGACAUGGUGGCCAACAUGGUGAAACCCUGUCUCUAUUAAAAAUACAAAAAGGUUAGCUGGGCGUGGUGGCGGGCGCCUGUAGUCCCCACUACUCAGGAGGCAGGAGAAUCGUUUGAACCCGGGAGGCAGAGGUUGCAAUAAGCUGAGAUUGUGCCACUGCACUCUAGCCUGGGCGACAGAGUGAGACUCCGUCUCAAAAAAAAAAUUAAUUAAAAAUAAAUUUAUCUCACUAUCAAUUUUGCAGGAUAUUGAUUGAUCCAGUCUCUCAAUACUUUUAUAAAAUAGCUUAAUCCUAGUCUCUCCAAGAAAAAUUGUUGUUCAACUGUGUAGUACCAUAGUAACAGUUCUCAGAUUCUCAGAUUAUUAAAUUUGUUUCUCCAAGAUAUAGUAUCCUUGAAAAUGCGCAUUGACACCCCCAUGGCUGGGGGAUAUAUUAUCUUUUUUCCUUCAAAGUGCCAUUGAUAAUUACUGCACGUAGGAGCUAUGGAUAAAAAUAGUUAUCAUUUGUUGAAUGUCUACUACGUGUCUAGAACUAUGCCAGGAACUUAAUGAAAUUGUCUUAUUUAGUCUUCACAGUUGCUCCACAAGGGAUUGUAUUAAUGUCAUUAUCUUGAUUUUACAGAUGAGAAAACUCAAGACUCAGAAACAAUAAAGGUUACAGAGAUGAAAUUGACAGAGCCUGAAUUUCAGUAUGUCAAACUUCAAUGUGCCAUUAUACUUUUAAAUCCUACAGAACAGAUUGAAUCACAACUUCUACUUUUACAUGAGAGAAGACAAUGGGUCCUAUGACUUACUGUCAGUUUCCUUUUCCUGAUUUAAUUAGCUGCUUCUGUAUCUAAUUUUGCUAGGAAUGGAGGAAUAAGGCAAAUUCCCUAAACUACAUAUUGACAUUUAUACUAAUGUGAAAACCUCAAGUCCAUUUGCAGACUUUUGGAUUAGAUUCUGUCCCAGAAAGACAUCCACCCUAGAGUUCAGGAUAUCAUACCCAUUUUACUGUUCCCCUGGCACAAUUCAUAGUAAGGAAAAACAGACAAGGGGAAAGCUAUUAGAUUCUCGGUGCUGCUAAACAGGACACACAAGGACACCAUUUUGUGAUGAUGAUGGUGCUUUAUGCAGCUUCCACCAUUUACAAGAUUUUCCUGUGGUGUGGAACCUCUCAUGAUAAAGCAAAGGAACUAGAAGCUUAUUCCAGUCAAGAUUUCUGAUUUAUCUUGUGGGUUAUGAUUCUGUAUGGUUUCUUUGGUGCUGCAUUAGACCUGAGCUCUGAUUGAAAAUUCUUCCACGCUCGCUACAUUCCAAAACUUUAUCUCCAAUAUGAAUUUCCAGAUGCCUCACAAGGUCUGAGCUCCAUCUGAAGGCUUUCCCAUGCUUGUCACAUUCAUAGGGCUUUUCUCCACUAUGAAUUCUAUGAUGUCGAAUAAAGUGUGAGCUCU
RNAcentral lists this long non-coding RNA (2195 nucleotides) under Homo sapiens (human). RNAcentral's name for it is "HSALNT0388183". Lineage: Eukaryota; Metazoa; Chordata; Mammalia; Primates; Hominidae. The record is from RNAcentral.